ACUGGUGGCUUCUUAAGAAGAGGAAGAGCUAGCACGCUGAGCCCCCUCACCAUAUGAUGCCCUGUACCACCCCGAGACCGUAGAGAGUCCCCACCAGCAAGAAGGCUGGAGUAUAGUGGCAGGAUCAUAGAUCACCACAGCCUCAAACUCCUGGGCUCAAGCAAUCCUCCCACCUCCGCCUCCAUGUAGCUGGU
Molecule: long non-coding RNA, 194 nt
Filed under: Piliocolobus tephrosceles (Ugandan red Colobus)
Lineage: Eukaryota; Metazoa; Chordata; Mammalia; Primates; Cercopithecidae
Description: lncRNA (ENSPTEG00000001092.1)
Source: RNAcentral